This is a long non-coding RNA of Branchiostoma floridae (Florida lancelet), 346 nucleotides long. RefSeq lists it as uncharacterized. The record is from RefSeq and is a predicted model, not a curated record. The transcript is spliced from 4 exons. NCBI's taxonomy places the organism in Eukaryota, Metazoa, Chordata, Leptocardii, Amphioxiformes, Branchiostomatidae.
GGUCAAGGACAGAGGAACACCAACAAACUGAAGGUUCAUCACAAAGUGAGAGAGUCAACAAGAGCUGUCCCCGACGUCCCGCCACACUCGGUACAAAACGUGUUGGGCUCCUUGGGGCGGUCGCGUAGCGGACGUGUGGUAAAGCCCAGGAUGGCAUGGUGGGCCAACCAGAGGGUUGUCAUUGAGAAAGACAAUGUCAAGAUCCACUGCACCAGUAGUGACGAGCUGGCCAUGUCACCCGCAUUUCUCAGCUUCAGAACUGUCAAAGGCUUGAUUGUACACAGAGAUGACCUAGAAGACAGUAGAAGCGGAACUCCAGGCACCGUCAAGCGCCGCCCUGCCAGCA